RNAcentral lists this ribosomal RNA (471 nucleotides) under Enterococcus durans. Its description in RNAcentral is "partial 23S ribosomal RNA". It matches the Rfam family "Bacterial large subunit ribosomal RNA", at positions 1 to 468 of the family's 2925-position model. The record is from RNAcentral. Lineage: Bacteria; Bacillati; Bacillota; Bacilli; Lactobacillales; Enterococcaceae.
AUAAGGUUAAGUGAAUAAGGGCGCACGGUGGAUGCCUUGGCACUAGGAGCCGAUGAAGGACGGGACUAACACCGAUAUGCUUCGGGGAGCUGUAAGUAAGCUUUGAUCCGGAGAUUUCCGAAUGGGGGAACCCAGCAUCUUUUAUAGGAUGUUACUUUUCAGUGAAUACAUAGCUGAUUAGAGGUAGACGCAGAGAACUGAAACAUCUAAGUACCUGCAGGAAGAGAAAGAAAAUUCGAUUCCCUGAGUAGCGGCGAGCGAAACGGGAAAAGCCCAAACCAAGAGGCUUGCCUCUUGGGGUUGUAGGACUCCGAUACGGUAGUCCAGUGAGAUAGUCGAAGGACCUGGAAAGGUCUGCUAGAAAGGGUAAAAGCCCCGUAGACAAAAUUUGACUGGCACCUAGGAGGAUCCUGAGUACGGCGGAACACGAGGAAUUCCGUCGGAAUCCGGGAGGACCAUCUCCCAAGGCUA